This 73-nucleotide transfer RNA is filed under the name Chloromonas radiata. Its description in RNAcentral is "tRNA-His". It matches the Rfam family "tRNA". Rfam says of the family: Transfer RNA (tRNA) molecules are approximately 80 nucleotides in length. The record is from RNAcentral. Lineage: Eukaryota; Viridiplantae; Chlorophyta; Chlorophyceae; Chlamydomonadales; Chlamydomonadaceae.
GCGGAUGUAGUCAAGCGGUUAAGACAGUAGGUUGUGGCUCUACCAUGCGCGGGUUCGAAUCCCGUCGUUCGCC